AUGGAGGAUGCCAUUGACAACUUCAUGCAAAGCGUAGGAGACAAAGAUGAAAAGCCAGAUGGCUUAAUUGACAAGAUAAAAAAUGCGCUAGGGAAGUUGGGGAAGAUGAAGGCUCGGCGUCGGAUUGGCAAGGAGAUCCAAGAUCUCAAGAAACAAAUCAAAGAGGUGAGUGAGAGGAAUGCAAGGUACAAGAGUCGCGAGGCCUUCUCCAAGACCGUCAAUGCGACCGUUGACCCUAGAGCUCUUGCUAUAUUUGAGCAUGCAUGGAAGCUUGCUGGAAUUGAUGAACCCAAGGCUGAGAUAAUCAAAUUGUUGAUGGACGAUGAUGGGUGUGCGACAACACAACAACAACCAAAGAUAGUCUCCAUCACUAGACCGGGAGGAAUGGGCAAAACAACUCUUGCGAACCAAGUGUAUCAAGAGAUCAAAGGGCAGUUUGAGUGUUGGGCCUUCCUAUCCGUGUCGCGAAGCCCAGACAUGAUGAAUAUCCUGAGGACUAUUCUUAGUGAAGUUAGCAGUGAUCGUUAUUCUAACACGGAAGCAGGGAGUGUACAAAUACUCAUUAGCAAGAUCAAUGACUUCCUACUAGAUAAAAGGUACUUUGUUGUUGAUGAUGAUAUAUGGGACGUGGAUACAUGGGAUAUUAUUAAGUGUGCAUUCCCCGCAACAAGUAAUACCAGUAGAAUAAUCACUACUGCUCGUAUAAACAAUGUCGCUCAUUCAUGUUUAUCAUCAUUCAAUGGUCGUAUUUACAAUAUAAGGGCUCUCAGUAUGGUGCACUCAAGACAGUUAUUUCAUAGAAGGCUAUUCAAGUCUGAUGAAGAUUGCCCUUCAUACCUUCAAGAAAUUUCUGAGCAGAUAUUGGAAAAAUGCCAUGGGUUACCUUUGGCGAUCAUUGCUAUAUCUGGUUUGUUAGCUAAUAUAGAAAAAACAGAAGAUCUAUGGAAUCAAGUGAAAGAUUCAAUUGGUCGUGCACUUGAAAGAAAUCCUAAUGUCGAAGGAAUGAUGAAGAUAUUGUCACUUAGUUACUUUGAUCUGCCUCUUUACCUAAAAACAUGUCUCUUAUAUCUGAGUGUAUAUUUAGAAGAUUCUACUAUUAAGAAGAAGGGCUUGAUAAGAAGAUGGAUUGCUGAACGAUUCAUUCAUAGAGAAGGUAGAUACACGGCAUAUGAGUUAGGAGAAAGGUGUUUUAGUGAACUACUCAAUAGGGGUUUGAUCCAACCUGGGGAGAUAGAUGUCUAUGGCGAGGUGAAUAGUUGUCAAGUUCACGACACAAUUCUUGAUUUUAUCAUAUCCAAGUCUAUAGAAGAGAAUUUUGUUACUUUUCGUGGUCUUCCCCUUAUGACAAUUGGGAAACAAAGCAAAGUUGUUCGUCAACUCUGUCUACAUGGUGUAAAGGAAGGAAAUUCAACAGUAUUGACAGCGGGUCUCGUGUUUUCCCAUCUCCGAUCACUUACUAUGGUUAGAGGUCUGUUGGAAAUCCCUUCUUUGGAAGAGUUCAGACAUCUGCGUGUUCUCGACUUGAUGGCUUGCUCCAAAUUGGAAGACCAUCAUCUUGAAAAUAUAGUGAGGUUGUUCCAGCUGAGGUACCUGAACCUCCAAGGUACAAGAAUAAGCAAGCUCCCAGAACAAAUUGGGCGUUUAGGAUGCUUAGAAGUGCUGGACCUAAGAGGGACUUCUGUAAAAGAAUUACCUGCAUGUAUUGUGAAUCUCAGAAAAUUGAUGCAUCUACUUGGUAAUGAUGAUGCAAAAUUUCCUGAUGGGAUUGUGAAGAUGCAAGCACUAGAGAUGUUGGAAUAUGUCAAUGCCUCCAUUCAGCCAUUUGACUUCCUGCGCGGCCUUGGACAACUAAAGAAUUUGAGGAAUCUACAACUUGACCUUGAUUUCGAAUUUGAUGCUGUUACCGAGGAUACAAAUAUGGUUGGGGAGGAGCACACCAAAGCUAUUGUCACCUCCCUAUGUAAACUAGGCACCCAGAAUCUCCGCUCCCUGACUAUUUAUGGAGGGAGCAACCUUUUACAUAAGGAAUCUUUGUGCCUACCUACCCUCGAGGACCUUUGUAUCUAUUUUUCGGCCUUCCCACAGGUUCCGACAUGGCUGGGCUCCUUCAGAAAACUCCAACGGCUACGCCUUGGUAUGAAGGGGCUCAAGCAGGACGGCCUCUGCACCCUUGGGGCUUUACCCAGUCUGCUCGUUCUGUAUCUGGUGGAACAAACAGCGUCAAACGGAAAGCUCAGAUUCAGUGGUGAGGUUGGGUUCCCAUUCUUGAAGAUUUUUAUUUAUGAUGCAUGUUCUAAACCAGUAGAUCUGAUGUUUGGGGCAGGGUCCAUGCCAAAGCUGGAAAAACUCGAGCUUAAUUGUUUUUGGAUAGUUGAAGCUAACUCUCUGGGGUUUGGAAUCGAGAACCUCCCUUGCCUCACUAGUGUUAAAUGCAUUGAGUUUGCUGGUGAUGAUGGCGUAGUUGAAGCCAUGAAGACUGUCAUGGAGAGAGGAGCCAGCACACAUCCCAACCACCCUAGCCUACUCUUUGAGAGACUUUGA
Molecule: ribosomal RNA, 2541 nt
Filed under: Triticum aestivum (bread wheat)
Lineage: Eukaryota; Viridiplantae; Streptophyta; Magnoliopsida; Poales; Poaceae
Description: partial small subunit ribosomal RNA
Source: RNAcentral